GACUCCCAUUUAGAUUAACAAACAAAAAAUACGCUUACUGUAGGUGUUUUCACGCAGUUAUAAUUCGUUUUCGAGAAAUUUGACGUUUCGCCGCCAUCUUGGAUGUUUUGCUCGUCAGCGCAUAAACUGUCAGCGGUCGCUUUUGUGACAUACUGUAUGAACAAGAUGGCGUGGUCUAUGUUGCUCUUUGGCAUUACCGCUGAAACUUUGUGGCAGCCAUUUGUUUUCGUCUCAUUCCACGUUGCAUCAAACAACCUCACGUUGAAUCAUUCAAGCUCAAAACUAUGCAAAAGCAAGCAUAUCACAACCAAACCACAAUGGAUCUGAGGAAUCGAUGUACAUGUGCGUAAAAACUUUGUCGUGCUGCUAAUGAAGUUAUUAGCCUUAAAAUGGGUAAAAUAAGCUUUUACUUGAAAAUGAAUAAGAAGAUUCAGAGUGAUGCUCUAAAAAUGAAGAAUCAAGCUAGUGACUUAAAAUACUAUUGUACAAACAGUCCAUUUUAUUUGUUCAUUUUGGUGGCAGUCACAAUGUGAUGUGCUGCUUAUCAUUUUCUGGAAUGUGGUUGAUGACUGCAUUUCCCACCUCUGGAUGAUAAAAGACCAAUCAAAUGUUACCAGUAUAUGAGAAUGUUUGAAUGCAAGGAUUACACUGAUGAAGAACCUUAAAAGAAUAACUUCAUGCUUCACACCUGUACCACAAUAAAAAGGUUGUGCAGCUGUGCUAUAUAUGUGAGUCUACAUUAAUUUUGACUAUGUGGAAUAUACUGACUUGUUUCAAUCAAAUUGCAAAUAUCUGAAUCUAGGGUUAUGGGUCAGUGUUAGACUUUUACUUGAACACAAUCAAUAUCAAUCAUAAAUAGAUUGGGCAAAAAGGUCAACCCUUUUAGUUUUCUAUGGACAGAGUCAUGUUGGCACCACACACUGCCAAUAUCUGAACUAGUUUUUUUAUGAUUUUGUAUAGUGUACCCCUUGCUUGUAGCCUGGAGUGUGUCAAUGAGGGGGAGGUGGUUGUUGGAUUGGGGCUGCAAUUCCCUUGGAAAUGCACCAAUGCUCAGCAGAAAUCUUAUAUUAAUUCUUUUGUUGAACCAAUAAAUGGCGGAAAUAGAGAGGAGUUGUCUUGUCUUAUUUUAUAUGAACAUUUAUUAGCUUAUUGCUUAGUGCUACCUUCUAUGUGAUUACAGUAAAAGCUCUGCUAACUAGGGGCUAAAAUCACCAAGUGCCAAAAGCUAGAGACAGAGAUUUUGAAAUAAAACCCCUAUUUCUAUCAUUCUAAACCCCCUCUUUCUAUUUUCUUUUAAGACCCCUCUUCUAGCCAAAGAACAAAAUGUCCUGGGGGCUGACUAGUGAGGCUUACUAGGGGAGUUUUGAUGCUGUUAUGGUGAUUCCAAAUUUGUUAUAGUUGUCCAUAUUUUACCAAGAUGGUGAACGUCAUAUCAUGCACGAUCUCUACUGCAUGAUUACUUGAAAUGCACUGAAAAAAAAAAGGGGUUGCUUUUUACAAUAAUUUUACCGUAAAUAUAAGCCUGUUUUUAUGAUUUGGCGCUUUAAUUCCAGUAAGCAUGUUAAUCAUGGUCUCUUGUAGUGUUUGGUAUUUAAGAACUAUUCCGCAACAAUUGAUGACUGGUUAUUUCAUUUUAUCAACACUCUCCCAGACUAUGAAAUAUUUUCAAGAGAUUGGAGCCAUUCGAGAAAAGAGGAGUUGCUCUUGAUUCUGCACACAUAGCCCACAUAUAAACUGUAUUGUGCUUGCUAUACCCAUUGGGUAGCAUGUAACUUAUUCUGUUAUCCUUCAGGUUCUUUAUACCAGUUCCCCUACUCUGUUCAAUCCCGAAGAACGACCCUCAUUUUACAACAGUUUUUAACGCAAAGACUCACUGAGACGAGAGUAUACAAUAAAAUACACAACUUUUAGCAGUUCAUCUACACAAUUUUAUUAGAAGGUCUGUCCGGCAGUAAUAGCUAGCAUACAAUAAGUAUAAAUACAAUCAACAAAUAAUCUAAAAAAUCUACUUCAUCAACUAUUUCCCAGCUAAAAAAGCUGCAUGUAAACACGUACUCUUAUCAAAUUUAUUUCCAAUUUGCUAGAUGCCUUCUAUUUACAUUUUCAACAGUAUUUCAAAAUAUUUCAAAAUAUCACUUACAGUUUUUCUGUUACGUGGAAAAGUACUUAAAUCCAGGUACUUGUGGCGGAUCAAAAGAUAAGUUAUAUGUUGUAAGCUUAUCGAACAGUCGUUUGAGUACAUGAAGUCGCACAUAUUAGGUUUUGUUUCACUUCAUGGUCUUCUGUCACACUUUUUCGAUCUUGUUUUAAACAGUGUUCCCCUAAUUGAUGUUCUGCGUCCUACGGAGUAACAUUAUACUUUGUAUCUGAGUUUGAUAUGCUGAAACCUCGGUGAUUACACCUUGCAGCAACUUUACAAGUAGUCUGAGUCGAAGAGGCGCGCCCGCAAUGAGAAUAAAUAUUUUCAUAAGGCGGGAACAAAACGCCAUCUUGUUCAUACAGUACGUCACAAAAGCGACCGCUGACAGCUUAUGCGCUGACGAGCAAAACAUCCAAGAUGGCGUGAAACAUCGAAUUUCUCGAAAACGAAUCAUAACCGCGCGAAAACACCUACAGUAAGCAUAUUUUUUGUUUUUACAUCUCAAUAUGAGCCCUGGUUGUAUUUAGCUUACAGUUCCCCUUUAAGAUUUUUUUUUUUUUUUUUUGCUAAUAUCUAAAAUUUGCCUGUUGUCAUCGAAUGGCAUAAUAAAAAAAUUUCACCCGAAAUGAAGCCAUUUGGGUCUACGGUAUCGUUAAAUAA
Molecule: long non-coding RNA, 2800 nt
Organism: Nematostella vectensis (starlet sea anemone)
Lineage: Eukaryota; Metazoa; Cnidaria; Anthozoa; Actiniaria; Edwardsiidae
Exons: 2
Source: RefSeq, a predicted model, not a curated record